UGGGAGCAGCAUGAGAAAGACUCACCUCC
RNAcentral lists this non-coding RNA (29 nucleotides) under Homo sapiens (human). The record is from RNAcentral. Lineage: Eukaryota; Metazoa; Chordata; Mammalia; Primates; Hominidae.